UUUUUAUGUGGCAAUCAGAAAGUCCGCGUGGCUGCCAUGUAAGAUCCAAUUUAUUUUAAAUAAUGGAUCCUCUAAUCCUAGUCGUUUUCCACUAAAAAGAUUACAUCUAUCCCUAACGCUAAAAAUUAUAUUUCUUCAAACUAUCUCUUUAUCUCUAUAAUUUUUACUUCAUUUCCAACUCUUAUCUUUCCCCUCUUCUUCAUCUUUCACUUCACCUACAAAGAAUCCAUCUUGAUUUCUGGUGUAAGAAAACGAUAUGAGGAGCAACAUUGUCAUGACAACUGAUCUUCGUCUUUCACUUCGCCUACAAAGAAUCCAUCUUGAUUUCUAGUGUAAGAAAACGAUUGAGCAGUAAUGUUGUCAUAUGACAAUUGAUUGGAUUAAGAGGCUCCCAUUAGAAGACCCACCUGAUGAUGGUAAGCCAAUUAUGUUUUCCUUUUAGCAUUAGUAUUCCAUAAAUAAAUCUAUGACUCAAUUCAUUUCUCUUUAUGUCUAUAAAAUACUUAGGAAUUUUGUGGCUUUAAUCGAAAAUUAAUUAAUUAAUUUCUUACUGAAUUGAUUUUUAUUUUUUAGAAUUUUAUUAUUUUGUGCAUUAAGGACUUCCUUUUAAUAUUUCAGUAUACACAUGCACCAUGUUGGGGUCGAUUCAAAAGGUGAUUUUGAACAAAGAGUUAUUAGGUUUAUAAAUUACUACAGUAGUGAUAAAAUGUCUAUGCUUGAGAUUAUAAGCAUGGCCAAGGAGUUAGGUAUUGGAGUAAGGAAUAAAACAUCUUGUGGUUACAUCCAAAAAAAUUAUUUAGCAAUGGGUUAAGAAGCUUAGAUAAUGAUAAUGAUUCAAUUGAAAUGUCAUUAUUUGUGGACAGCACUAAGAUUAUACAUGUGUAUGUUAGAGAUAUGGGAAGUGAAUUUGUGGAAGUGGAAGUGGAGGUUAGGCAAGGUGCUACUGAGGAAGUAGAAAAUGUGCAAGAGGUGGAUGAUGAUAAGAGUGAAACCGAAAGGGAAGACUGAAGAUAUUGAUUUUCUAGAUUCUGAUUAUGACCUAAAAAAUGAUAAAGAUGAUGAUAUUUUUUAUAAGUAUGUUGACAUAGAGAUAAAGAGGGAUAAUAAUAGAAAUUAUGCUAUUGUGGAAGAAGAAGUAGACUGCGACGAGACAUCCUAUGCUGAUUGAGAAGAAUUAGACUCUUGUUCUCAGACUGAUGAGUCUGAUAAAGAAACUUAAAGGCUUAUAUUUCAUAAAUUCAAUGAGGAGACAAAUAUGGCAGAUCCUCAUUUCAAGAUUGAGAUAAAAUCCCAAAGUUUUAAAUAGUUCAAGAAUGCAAUUAGGAGCCAUUCAAUUAAACAUAAGGUUCAAGUGAAAUUUAAUCCUAACAAUAAGAAGAAGUGCAAGGCAAUUUGCAAGCAAGGGUGUCCUUUUUAUAUAUGGGCUUCUCCUAUGCCUAAGGAUAAGUGUACAUUCAAAUGAAAUCAGGAAUUUUGGAGCAUAAAUAUAGCGAGGAGCGUAGUAUUAGACAUGUUAAUGCAGAGUGGAUUGCAAGAACAUAUCUGGAUACUUUUAGAGCUGACAUAGCAUAGACAUUCAAUGGUAUUAUCUAAGCAUUUAAGAGGAAUCAAGAAGUAAAUAUUACUAAGCUAGUUGCAUGGAGAGCUAAGUCAAUUGCUUUGAAGAUUAUUGAUGGUGAUGAGAGGGCAAAAUUUGUCAGGUUACAAGAGUAUGCAUUAGAGAGUUUAAGGAGCAAUCUUGGUUCCAUAUUGAAGUUUCAAUUGGAAAGUGGAGUUUAUCAAGGCAUGUAUGUAUGUUGCUGCCUUGAAAGUUGGUUUCAAAGAAGGAUGUAGACCUUUAAUCUCAGUCGAUGGAUGCUUCUUAAAAGGUAUUUAUGGAGAGCAAUUAUUAACAGUUGUUCGGAUAGAUGCAAAUGAUUGCAUUUAUCCAAUAGCCUAUGCUAUUGUUGGGAAGGCGAACAAAGGGCCCAUUAAUCUAAAUCUAUUUAAAACAAUGUUUAAUCUUACAAGGAAAAUUGAUAUUUAAUAAUUCAUAAACUUAUGUUGAUACACCUUAGCUUUUUUUCUGAACUAAAAAAUACAACUUAGGUUUUAUUUACAAUCUUUUAGCAGUUAAACAUCAUAUUUAAACUACGUUAGUAGCCUUAAAAGAACACUUCAUACAACCCUGCAGUUGCCUCUCAUAAGCCCUAUAAAUGCCCCAUAUUCAUUCAAAGAUCUUCCUCAUUACAUAACCAAUAUAUAUUAAACUAAAUAUCUUAAUCCAUUUCCAAACAAUAACUCCUCUUCUAAAUAAGCCAUUUCCAUUCUCUUUCAUUUCGUUGAACCCUUCGAAGUAAGCCAAGAAUGACAGAUCGAGCAUGAUUUGGCAUGGGUGGAUCAUGCCACUGAAAGAAGUCACAUGCUCUCUAUAUCUACGUUACCAUAAAACAAGAAAAUAAAAAAAAAUCCAAAAGUCAAAUUUCACUAAUUUACAAACAACACAUAAAGCUCACCUUAUAUCUUCAACAACCAAAGAAUCAAAGCCCUAGGUUUGCAUUAGCCCAUGAUGCUUUCAACAUUGCCACUUUAUUGCACUUGCAGUUUGGAAUUGCAAUUUGGUGUUCCAUUUGAUUGAUGUUGCUUUCUUUGCUUAUCUAUAAUGAAAGUUCUAAUAUUUUUUUUAUUUGUCUAUUACAGUAACGAAGAGAGCAAUGCUAGGAAGUCAAGAUGGAUUUUCUUUGUAAGGGAAAUGAAAGAGAAGAAGACCAAAAAGAAAAGAGGAUAGUAAAGAUAGUUUGAAGAGAUGUGAUUUUGAAGGUUAGGAAUAAAGGUAAAUUUUUUUAGUGGGUAUAAGCGCGGCUCUUUCAGGGCCUACCCCAAGUGAUUAUGGCUACAUCACCGUGUUAGAGGUUGUCUCAUCCGUACUAGGCUUGAUUCGAAGUUCGAAAAUAGGUCUCAAGGGAUCACGACAACCGUGGUGAUCACGAAUUAUUGAAGAAGACUAUGACCCGCCACUUGGGUAAAAUAAUCGGAACAAAUAGAGAGGGAUGAAGGAUGACGGCUCAGAUUCCUCGCGGAGAGCCUAACUUUCACCUUCCCCAAAUAAGAUAUUUGGGUUCAGAAAGUUUGGUGUGUGUUGGCAAGGGGUUAGGCACUCUAACACGCUUGGCCACAAAGUUCGGCCUUCACUAGACUCUAAAGCUUUUGGUUUCCCUAAUCAUACUAACCUAGCUUGGUUGCCAACCAUUUUACACUAGUCCAGAGUGUUCCGGAGAAUUCCGCAUUACUCUAGCACUCUCGGCAAAAAAUUUUAGAUUUGAGGCUCCACGGUGUGACACUUAGCUUUAGAACCUACACACUAAAACCAAAACACCCUAUACAUCAUCUUAAAUCAUAUUGAAUUGAAAAGUAAAUAAAAACCAACAAAAACAAAAAACAAAACAAAAUCUAAAAUAGAUAAAAAAAGCAUAAUAAGAAAUUAAAAGAAAUUAGUAGGUUGCCUCACACCAAGCGCUUCUUUAAUGUUGUGUGAGCUAUACGUUGGGAUGAUUUCUCAUCUAGAUUCUAGAAAUUGUAAAACCUCUUUUCCCGAGUGAAAUUCUCCACCAGAAUAGAGUGUGAGCCUCUAUUCAUUUACCUUAAAGUCACCUUUUUUAGGAAGUGAUAAACAACACCAUGUGGAAAGACUUGCUUAACCACAAAUGGACCCGACCAAUGAGGUUUUAACUUACUAGGAAAGAGCCAAAGUCUCGGGUUGAAUAAAAGUACCUUUUCUCUAACCUGAAAUUAUAUGCUGGAGUUGAUUCGAGCAUCAUUCUAUUUCUUUGUGCACUCCUUGGUUAGAUGAGCAUUCUCAUAUGCAUGUAAUCUCCACUUGUCUAGCUCAUUCACCUGUAAAUUCCUUUUCAGCUCUGCGCUAGCUAGAUCAAGGUUAACCUGUUUAACAAAGAUACUAAAUCACUAGUUUGUGAAUUACUAAUAAUAUCACAAUAUAGAUCCCCGGAAAUAGUGUCAAAAACUUGAUGCGCGUUGUUAUGCACACGGCAAAGUGCACUGGUCGUAUCAAGUAAUAUAGCAAUCAAAUAAAAGUUACCGUUCCACUGAGAACCAAAUGUAAAUACUAUUUUCAAACCUUAACUAAUUUCUAGCAAUCGAUUUAUUGUUUAGAACUUCUGAAAUUAAAGAUUAACUAAAUUAAGACAUGAAUGAAAGUGAAUGAAAAGACAAAAUGAAGUGAGAAUCUAUAUAGGUGUUGAAUUCUCAUAAUCUAUUUGCAUAUUUCAUGAAUCAAUUAACAAUUAAAUCAAAACCAAAGAGUUGAAUUGACAAUCAUCUAUGUUAGAUAAAAACCUUUCUCAAGUGAUUAAACUCCUAUUUCCUAAGAGAAGAACAAUGAAUCUCUUCUUUAGCCAACUCACUUAGGUCAUGCAUUAAGUUUAGAAAAUUAUCAUGUCAAAGAGUCUUAUAAGCAACCCUCUAUUUCUAAGAGAGGUCAGUUCAUAGAAAGCUAUCUCUACUCAAUUUUAUGAAAACAAUAUCAAAUCAAUAUGUCGACCUAUCAAUUAAAAUAAAUAAAGCAAAAUCAAAGAAACAAGACAACUUAAUAAUAAUGAUUCAAUUGCAUAAUAAAUGAUUCAAUCUAUACAAAUAAAUUAGAGUUCAUCAAUACCCAAAUAGCAAAAGAUUAUUUCCUACACAUUGAAUUAAAGAAAGAAGAAAAAGGAAAAGAAAUUCUCAAAUUAUUCAUGACUGAAAAGAUAAGGAAAUCCUCCACUUCAAUCUUCAAACUUGGAGACAAUCUAUAGACUUAGUGUUUCUUCCUUCAAAAUCAUGUCCAAAGACCCUAAAUCUCUCUAAGAAUAAAAUUCUAAAACUAUUCUCUCUUUAAGAAAGUGUAAGAAAUUGAAUCCUCUAAUGUAGCAAACACAGGGUGACACGACAGGCACAUGGGAAGAUGACCUAGUUGUGUCACGUGAACUAAUUUGGAAUGCAGAUUUUUGUCUAGAUUCACAUGGGAAUCACAUUGGAAAGACAUCUCCCGAUGUUAGGCAGUGCAGGAAUUGGCAGAAUGAAGAUGUGGCCCACACGAGAAGAUUGCAUGACAAGGUUAACUUCCCAUGUGCCUUCCUGUUGGUUCUAUCCUUUUUUGCCUUUCAAGAGUGCCAUUUUGGCAUGGUUUCCGAAGCCACCGCGGCCUUCACCACGGCCCAUAGUGGCUCAGCACCGGUUAGGGCACGGCCUGGAAGAAGUCAACAGAUGCGGAACGUAGAGGUCCAACACGGCCUGGACUCCGCCCGUGCUAAUCAGCACAGGCUUGACCAUGGCCGUGCUGAAGGGAUUAUAUAGGCAAAAACAAUUUGCUGAAUUAGGGUUUGAUUUUCUGACUUGAUUUCCAUUAUACAAGCUUAAACCAUCUACUUCCGGACUUCAAUUCUCGACAUUAGAAGAUCAUUUCAUCAAUUGAAGGAAGGAGUACAUCUGUUUUAACAUCAAAUUGAAGAUCAAGACAAGAUUUAGGAACAUUCAAAAAGCAAAUUAGGGUUUACUAUUCUAAAUUGGGAAUUUAGGGUUUCUCAUCCAACUUGAAGAAGAAGGGUGUACAUACCUUUAAUUUAAUUUUCUGAAUCUAUUCUUUAUUUUGUGUUGCUUAUUAGUAUGAGUAGCUAAAUUAUCAAACCCAUUUGGGGUUCCUAUGUUGUUG
This 5683-nucleotide long non-coding RNA is filed under the name Ricinus communis (castor bean). Its description in RNAcentral is "long non-coding RNA (RCOM_LNC000782)". Lineage: Eukaryota; Viridiplantae; Streptophyta; Magnoliopsida; Malpighiales; Euphorbiaceae. The record is from RNAcentral.